This 225-nucleotide ribosomal RNA is filed under the name uncultured Desulfosporosinus sp. Its description in RNAcentral is "partial 16S ribosomal RNA". It matches the Rfam family "Bacterial small subunit ribosomal RNA", at positions 568 to 792 of the family's 1533-position model. Lineage: Bacteria; Bacillati; Bacillota; Clostridia; Eubacteriales; Desulfitobacteriaceae. The record is from RNAcentral.
CGCGUAGGCGGAUGGUUAAGUCCGGUGUGAAAGAUCAGGGCUCAACCCUGAGAGUGCAUCGGAAACUGGGCAUCUUGAGGACAGGAGAGGAAAGUGGAAUUCCUAGUGUAGCGGUGAAAUGCGUAGAUAUUCGGAGGAACACCGGUGGCGAAGGCGACUUACUGGUCCAUUACUGACGCUGAGGCGCGAAAGCGUGGGGAGCAAACAGGAUUAGAUACCCUCGUA